GAAAUGUGGAAUGAAGCCUGAUUGGUCCAGAGUAUGUAUCUUUAUUGACAUGCAUAAUGCAUUAAGUGUCUCGUUAGGCUUUUUAUCUCUAAGGGGUAUCUAUUCCCCUAACCCCAUCUGGUAUGGAAAGACAUAAGAGGAAUGGUCCUUGUGGAUGAUGGCGUACCCUCUGACGAGAGUGGGAACGCGAAUAUCUGUUAGG
RNAcentral lists this long non-coding RNA (202 nucleotides) under Carica papaya (papaya). RNAcentral describes it as "long non-coding RNA (CPAP_LNC009033)". The record is from RNAcentral. Lineage: Eukaryota; Viridiplantae; Streptophyta; Magnoliopsida; Brassicales; Caricaceae.